Aedes aegypti (yellow fever mosquito) is the source of this 789-nucleotide long non-coding RNA. RefSeq lists it as uncharacterized. The record is from RefSeq and is a predicted model, not a curated record. NCBI's taxonomy places the organism in Eukaryota, Metazoa, Arthropoda, Insecta, Diptera, Culicidae. The transcript has 3 exons.
UUCUGGAAGCUUUCUCACACGCAGUGAAUGGCCCCUCGAACCAUUCUCUCGCUUGCUUGUAUGCAAGCGCGUCUCACCUGUAAUUGGAACAUCGUCCUUUCCUGCAAGUAGAUAAUACAUGUAGGAACCAGUCAGUUUGUUCAACCGCGCACUCGUCAAGUUCAGUGCCAUCUGAUAGAGGUGUGAUUCUAAGCGGCUGGAAAUCCUGUUCUAAAAGGCACGCAUUGCGCUUAGACUGCUUCCUACUAUACCUACAUUCUAUCUAGUUAGACUGACUCCAACGUUUUUCAGCAUGUGAGCUGACAUUAAGCGCUUCGAUGUGUUGUGAUUUGCGGCGUAGUAGCAGAGUCACGGUGUGUCUGAAACCGUUAUGGUCGAAAAAAAAAGAUAGGCUGCACUCAACACGCAAAAUGUGAAGAUGGAUUCUAUUUUGGAAGACCCCCUCCCUCAUCCUGGUUUGGAAAUCACUUCAUACUUCAGAUAGCUUGGAUUCAUGUUGCAGUUUGUGGCUUUGUUAUGGGGAAAGGUAUUCAAUAUCGGCAGAUAGACAUAUGUUUGCCAAAUUAAAUGUAAUUGUGGAAACAUUGUGCUAAAAGAUUAUGUAGCCGUCGGGACUUGAACGCACAAUUUCCAUUCUGUACACGGACGCGUUACCAAUUAUACUACAGCUACCCCAAGGAACAAUUGGUAGCUUUUAAGCUACUUACAUGUUUAAUACAAGCUGCAUAGCAGCAACCAUUGCUGAACAAAUUUUUAGUUGAAUCAUUAAUUGAAUAAAAUUAAUUCCUG